UUGUUGGUGAGGUAACGGCUCACCAAGGCGACGACGGGUAGCCGGCCUGAGAGGGCGACCGGCCACACUGGGACUGAGACACGGCCCAGACUCCUACGGGAGGCAGCAGUGGGGAAUAUUGCACAAUGGGCGAAAGCCUGAUGCAGCGACGCCGCGUGAGGGAUGACGGCCUUCGGGUUGUAAACCUCUUUCAGCAGGGAAGAAGCGAAAGUGACGGUACCUGCAGAAGAAGCGCCGGCUAACUACGUGCCAGCAGCCGCGGUAAUACGUAGGGCGCAAGCGUUGUCCGGAAUUAUUGGGCGUAAAGAGCUCGUAGGCGGCUUGUCACGUCGGUUGUGAAAGCCCGGGGCUUAACCCCGGGUCUGCAGUCGAUACGGGCAGGCUAGAGUUCGGUAGGGGAGAUCGGAAUUCCUGGUGUAGCGGUGAAAUGCGCAGAUAUCAGGAGGAACACCGGUGGCGAAGGCGGAUCUCUGGGCCGAUACUGACGCUGAGGAGCGAAAGCGUGGGGAGCGAACAGGAUUAGAUACCCUGGUAGUCCACGCCGUAAACGGUGGGCACUAGGUGUGGGCAACA
RNAcentral lists this ribosomal RNA (573 nucleotides) under Streptomyces sp. Its description in RNAcentral is "bacterial SSU rRNA". It matches the Rfam family "Bacterial small subunit ribosomal RNA", at positions 246 to 831 of the family's 1533-position model. Lineage: Bacteria; Bacillati; Actinomycetota; Actinomycetes; Kitasatosporales; Streptomycetaceae. The record is from RNAcentral.